Long non-coding RNA from Gallus gallus (chicken), 652 nucleotides. Lineage: Eukaryota; Metazoa; Chordata; Aves; Galliformes; Phasianidae. The record is from Ensembl.
GGCUCCACCCCUCCUGGUCACUCAGGCACAUUGCGUGCACCUGAGCUCCCCAGGGCUGGCCCUGCCUUCCCACCAGAGACCAUAAAAACAACAAGAGAAAUAGUUGGCCAGGAAUGAAAAAUGAAGAUGGUUCUCACACUUCUGUAGCUGGCUGAUGUUCUUUCUCCAAUUACCAUGGAAAAUUACUUCAGUUGUGGAAAACCUGGGGCUAUAUUUCCCAGCUGGAGCCUCCCAGCGCUACCUGCCCUUUGCUGAUGGAGACAUGGAUUCCUCUCUGCUGUCUGACUGAUCUGAUAAAAACAACAGCCAGUGAUUAUCUAAUCUGAAGGUCAUGUCACACUCAAACAACUGGAGUAUCUACACAGUAGAUGGAAAUUCUGCUGUCACCACCCAUCAUGACAACCGUCGGCAAAAUAAAAGCAAUGCUACUGCCUGUCUUCCUGGCACAUCCCAAAUUGUCUGGAUGGUAAAAAUAAUUCUCAAGAACAAACAAAUAAAAAUCUGUAAAAAGUGGGUAGGCCAGUAAAUUUUCAGACAAGAAAGAAACAGAGGUCAAGAGGAACAGGAGCUACAGCAAUAACCAAAUCUUUGUAAUUGUGGAAUUUCAGCUACGUUCCAUUUAAGAAAGCAAGAAAUAAAGGCAGCCUAGCUC